This 253-nucleotide ribosomal RNA is filed under the name uncultured bacterium. RNAcentral describes it as "partial 16S ribosomal RNA". It matches the Rfam family "Bacterial small subunit ribosomal RNA", at positions 524 to 776 of the family's 1533-position model. The record is from RNAcentral.
UACGUAGGGCGCAAGCGUUAUCCGGAAUUAUUGGGCGUAAAGAGCUCGUAGGCGGUUUGUCGCGUCUGCCGUGAAAGUCCGGGGCUCAACUCCGGAUCUGCGGUGGGUACGGGCAGACUAGAGUGAUGUAGGGGAGACUGGAAUUCCUGGUGUAGCGGUGAAAUGCGCAGAUAUCAGGAGGAACACCGAUGGCGAAGGCAGGUCUCUGGGCAUUAACUGACGCUGAGGCACGAAGGCGUGGGGAGCGAACGGG